Lagenorhynchus albirostris (white-beaked dolphin) is the source of this 1347-nucleotide long non-coding RNA. RefSeq lists it as uncharacterized. Lineage: Eukaryota; Metazoa; Chordata; Mammalia; Artiodactyla; Delphinidae. The record is from RefSeq and is a predicted model, not a curated record. The transcript is spliced from 3 exons.
CCGCGGGGCCGGGAAAAGUUUGCGGCGCGUCCGCGGGGCCCCGACCAGCGGGGACUCUGGGGCGCGUCGUCGGCGGGAGCGCGGUGGUCUUCUGUCUGCAAGUCCAUUGUUCUGUUAUAUGCGGGAGUGAGUGGAAACAAAGUUGCAAGGCUCAGAGAGUGAGCCGCUGGAUUCUACACCCAGAAAGGAAAGGUGCAGCCAUUUAAGGGCGUGUGAUUUCAAGGAAGUGUCUGCACGAGCUGGCCUUGCAGCAGUGGACGGCACAGCUGAAGUGCUGGCAGCACAGCUCCAGCCUGGGCGAGUCAUCAACCUUUUCAGGCCUUGCUUCCAGGCCCUGGGAAGCCCUCUGACACAAUGUUCUCCAGUCUUCUCAAAGAAAUAGUUAUUGUGAAGGUUUGAAAUUGUGCUUUCUGCCAGGAGGUGCAGAUCACAUGAGUAAAUGCAAAAACAGCUCAAAGUAGGAAGAGAAUGACCUAUGUGCUUUUCCAUAGCUUUUUAGUUAUUCUGCGUAAAUAUUCAGAAUGUCGCUUGAUUUUUGACUUUCAGUCAUGAAUGUAGCUGUUCCAAAGCUUAUUGAAAUACGUGCUGAUACUCAUUCCAUCAUCCAAGAAGUGUUUAUUGAGCACCUACUCUGUGCCGGCUCCAGACACUGAGGAUGAAUCAGUGAACAGAAACAAAAUCUUAUCACAUGAACCCACAAAUAAAUAUGUAUAAUGUAUCAGGCUAUAAAUAUCUUGUUUAUUCUGUAUGUCUAUAAUAUCUAAUCUUAUUCAAUGGUAUCAUUCAUUGCUUUUUUCGGUCUUUCAAAACUAAAUGAAUUUAAAUAUCCUGGAACAUUUAUUUCACUGUCUAUGAAAAACAUCUAGAUACAAAUCUACAUAAUGUUGUUCGCUUUUGCAUUAUUCUUCCAAGUAUAUUCUCAUUGUUCCUGGUCUGUUUUGUGACAUGAAUAAGUAGUACUAAUUAACAUGCUUGAGAGGUCAUGUUAUAUAUGUAUAUAUAUUUACUGAGAAGAUAUUGCCAAGCGGUUAUAUAACUAAAAGGCUAAAGGUAUCUGUGUUUAUAUGCAUGUUUGUAUGUGUAUUUAUUAAGUAUCUUAUAUAUAUUCAAACUACCAUUGUAUAUAGUACAAGUAAAGUUUAUUAAUUUGAACUUUACUCUUUGCAAGUUUACAGUUCUCCAGGUACUGAUAAGGAUGAUUUAUCUUUAUAUUACAUUUGUAUGUUUAUUGUUUGAUAAGCAAAUGUUAUAAAUACCUUUUUAAAAACUAUUUUUAAAUGUAAACAUCCAUUUAUAUUUGAAAAAAAUAUAAGCUUUAACUGAUCAUUCUUUGAAAGCUUGUGUCAU